UUUUUGAAUUGGGAGUUUUCCACGUCAAUCUUUGUGUUGUUAUUUCUCCAUAUAUUUUAUAUUUUCUAGCUUCCAAAUAAAUUUCAGAACAAGGAUCAUGUGCGCAAAUAAAGGAAUUGCUGUCAAUUAACCACAGUUUUUGACAAGGGAAUGGAUAUGAUCUGCUGAAGCUGGGAGGUAUUGACUAUUGAUUAUCUCAUUUUUCUCUUGACCUAAACACUGCAAAGUCUUGCUUCAACAAUUACACCACCGCUGCCGAGAACCUCUUCACUAUCAUUUAGAAUUUUUUUUUUAAUUUUUUUAUCGAGGUCUUGUUUUCUUGUGGAUUUAUCUGAAUUUAUUAUGGUUUGCUAAAUGUGAGUCUUGUGUAUGCCUGUUUCAGACCAGACAUAGCCACCAGUUAUGAAUAUACUUUGCAAAUGCUUCCUAGUUAUUGUUCGCAUAUUAAAUCUUGGAUUCUGUGUUUGCAGCGGCUCUGGAAUUUCAAUACUGGAAAAUUUCUGAAAACUUACACGGGCCAUGCUAAUUCUAAGUAUUGCAUAUCCUCAACAUUUUCUCUGACAAAUGGCAAGUACAUCGUAAGUGGUUCCGAGGAUAAUUGUCUAUACUUAUGGGAGCUUCAGUCCCGUAAAAUAGUUCAAAAGCUGGAAGGUCACACAGAUGCAGUUAUAUCAGUAUCAUGUCACCCGACUAAGAAUAUGAUUGCAUCGGCUGCUCUUGGAAAUGACAAGACGGUGAAGAUUUGGACUCAGGAAGAGGACUGACCUGUUUUCAGCGAAAUAGAAUUCUGUAGCAUAACUGCAUGUGUUCCUAGCUGUCAUUUCCAGCGACCACAAAGGUAAUCUUAUGGUGCUAACAGAGUCACUCUUGUUCACAGAUCUAAGCAAUUUUAGUGUAUUUUUAGGUGACUCGCCUGUGAAGAAAAUUUUAUAAUAACUUAUUCGUGCACGGUUGAUUUUACACCCGUUAUUUUGUGAUUUUGCCUCUUCGAUAGUCUUGCAUCUGAUGGAGAAAUUAAUAUCUAAAUAUGAGCCAGAUUCUCUUAUCUCUGAAUCGUAUGGCAAUAACAAAAGGUGGUGUGAAAAUGAUAAAAUGAUACAAAGUUGGUGCAGUUUCGGUCACAUAGCAGUCAAAAGACAAAAUGACGUGGGC
RNAcentral lists this long non-coding RNA (1152 nucleotides) under Olea europaea subsp. europaea. Lineage: Eukaryota; Viridiplantae; Streptophyta; Magnoliopsida; Lamiales; Oleaceae. The record is from RNAcentral.